GACGAACGCUGGCGGCGUGCCUAAUACAUGCAAGUAGAACGCUGAAGAGAGGAGCUUGCUCUUCUUGGAUGAGUUGCGAACGGGUGAGUAACGCGUAGGUAACCUGCCUUGUAGCGGGGGAUAACUAUUGGAAACGAUAGCUAAUACCGCAUAACAAUGGAUGACACAUGUCAUUUAUUUGAAAGGGGCAAUUGCUCCACCACAAGAUGGACCUGCGUUGUAUUAGCUAGUAGGUGAGGUAAUGGCUCACCUAGGCGACGAUACAUAGCCGACCUGAGAGGGUGAUCCGCCACACUGGGACUGGGACACGGCCCAGACUCCUACGGGAGGCAGCAGUAGGGAAUCUUCGGCAAUGGGGGCAACCCUGACCGGGCAACGCCGCGUGAGUGAAGAAGGUUUUCGGAUCGUAAAGCUCUGUUGUAAGUCAAGAACGGGUGUGAGAGUGGAAAGUUCACACUGUGACGGUAGCUUACCAGAAAGGGACGGCUAACUACGUG
RNAcentral lists this ribosomal RNA (497 nucleotides) under uncultured bacterium. RNAcentral's name for it is "partial 16S ribosomal RNA". It matches the Rfam family "Bacterial small subunit ribosomal RNA", at positions 28 to 507 of the family's 1533-position model. The record is from RNAcentral.